GAAGAUGUAGUUGAAUAAAACAACAUUGACUUGUUAAGUCAGAGGUGAAAAAGGUCCGUCUUCG
RNAcentral lists this transfer RNA (64 nucleotides) under Pinctada margaritifera. RNAcentral's name for it is "tRNA-Asn". It matches the Rfam family "tRNA". From Rfam's summary of the family: Transfer RNA (tRNA) molecules are approximately 80 nucleotides in length. Lineage: Eukaryota; Metazoa; Mollusca; Bivalvia; Pterioida; Pteriidae. The record is from RNAcentral.